GCAACAAUGGCUUAGUUGGUUGAGCAUGAGACUCUUGAUCUCAGGGUCGUGGGUUCGAAGCCCACAAUGGGCA
This is a non-coding RNA of Podarcis lilfordi (Lilford's wall lizard), 73 nucleotides long. The record is from the annotation of a GenBank genome assembly. NCBI's taxonomy places the organism in Eukaryota, Metazoa, Chordata, Lepidosauria, Squamata, Lacertidae.